AUGAAUCCGGAGAUGCUGCGGGUGGCGGAGGAGCAGAUGCGGCGCAUCCCCGCCGACGACCUCGCCAGGAUGCAGCGGCAGCUCAUGUCCAACCCGGACCUGCUGAAGCUCGCAACCGAGAGCAUGAAGAACAUGACGGCCGACGACUUCAAGAGGGCCGCCGAACAGCUGAACCGCGCGAGGCCAGAGGAGAUGCUCGACAUGACCGAGAAAAUCGCCAAGGCCAAGCCCGAGGAGCUCGCCGCCAUGAAGUCCCAAGCCGACGCUCACACCUCGUACGCGAUAUCCGCCGCCAAGAUGCUGAAGCGGCAGGGGAACCAGCUCCAUGGCCGCGGGGAGUACGCCGAGGCCGCCGCCAAGUACAGACUCGCCAGGGAUAACGUGAAGAACAGCGUGCCGUCGGCAGCCGGGCGCGCUCUGCAGCUGCAGUGCAGCGUUAAUCUGAUGGCCUGCUACCUGAAGCUCAGCGAGUUUGAGGAGUGCGUCAAUGAAGGCUCGGAGGUUUUGAGCUAUGAGUAUCACUCGGGCACUGCCAAAGCGUACUACCGAAGGGGUCAGGCGUACAAGGAGCUGGGAAACCUCCAGGCUGCUGUUGCUGACCUGAGUAAAGCCCAUGAGAUGUCUCCGGACGACGAAACUGUCGCUCAAGCUCUGACAGAGGCUCAAGAAAAACUUGAAACCGGAGGGGGAGCAGCAGACCAGCCAAAGAGAGUUGUCAUUGAGGAAGUUGUAGAAGAAGAUGUUAGUUCUGAUCUGCCAAGCGCUCAAAGGAGUUCUUCUUCUACUGCUGUUUCACAGCCACAUGAUGGAGCACGAAACUCGACACAAUCUGACUCUUUAGGAAGCUUGGUAAAUACUACGUCUCAGGUUGCUUCUUCAUCAAGCGGAGCAAUCCCUGUUGCUCCAGAUUUGGGAUCCAAUGUGCCAGGAAUUUCACCUGGCAUGGUCAGUAUGGCAGACCCUGCUAUGUGGGAGAUGUUUACAUCCAUGGUGGAGAACAUGAGCCCUGAUGCGAUGUCAAACAUGAGUGAGUUGUUCGGUAUCAAGUUGUCCAUUGAGGAUGCAGCCAACGCUCAACAAGCUAUGUCUUCAUUCUCUCCACAAGAUUUACAAAAAAUGAUGAAAUGGAUCGGCAGAGCACAGCGAGGAGUCGAAACAGCAAAGAAGACGAAGGACUGGCUACUAGGCAGGAAAGGCUUCAUCUUUGCCAUUGUCAUGCUGAUCUUGGCGUUCAUCCUCCAUCGGCUUGGAUUCAUCGGGUAG
Molecule: ribosomal RNA, 1263 nt
Filed under: Triticum aestivum (bread wheat)
Lineage: Eukaryota; Viridiplantae; Streptophyta; Magnoliopsida; Poales; Poaceae
Description: partial small subunit ribosomal RNA
Source: RNAcentral